This is a long non-coding RNA of Nomascus leucogenys (northern white-cheeked gibbon), 2402 nucleotides long. RefSeq lists it as uncharacterized. The record is from RefSeq and is a predicted model, not a curated record. NCBI's taxonomy places the organism in Eukaryota, Metazoa, Chordata, Mammalia, Primates, Hylobatidae. The transcript has 3 exons.
GGUUGCAGUAAGUCUGGAUGCCACAUCAAACUGUUUGUGGUACUUCUAAACUUUGUGGAAGAGCCCUGUUUCAUAAAUCUGAGACAGCCUUGGUCUGAGGGGGCAAAGACAGAGAAUUCACGUGCUGCCCAGGCAUAGCCACAUAGCAGGUGUACAUCCCUGGACACUUUUCUGACCCUCAUUGGAUUUUCCUGGAAGUACAGAGAGUUACAUCCAGAGAACUCUGAACAUUUUGGAAGGACCUCAAUCCUGCAAACAAUGAAUGGCAAUAAAUCCUGGGACUGGAAAGGGGCUUCUCAACCCCAAGGGCAACCAUAAAGUCCUAUACAAAGAAAGAUACAGCAGUGUGAAAGAGGCCUGGAUGGAAAAACAAAGACAGAGCCAGUGAGCCAGAGCCAGAGCCAGAGAACAAGAGAGAAAGGCAGAGAAUGGAAAACACAGACAGAGAAGGCAGAUGCAUAGAGAGACAGAGAUUCGAUGAGAAAAUAAGGAAGGAAGAAAGAAAGAGAACAAAAACGUUCUCAGCACUACAACUUCUGCCUUGUUCUGUUCCAGAACAGUAUGAGCUCAGUAGUUUUUCAGUCUCUCAAUUUUCUACAACUAAUAAUUUGUUCUUUCAGUUAGUGGCAAAGACUUAACAACAAAGGUUCAUCUUUAAUAUUAGAGAGGCACUUUUAAAAUUUAUGAUGCUAAGCCUUUUGUUCUGGAUAUGGUAUGUUGCACAGGUCUAGGGACUGGGAUUUCAGGUGUCUAGUCCAUACCCUUAUUCUUUUAUUUAUUAAAUCUUUUAGUGUGUAUUGUUUUCUUUUUUCUCUUCUUUUAUUAGUAUGUAUUUCUUGAGUCAUUAACAUACAACAUAUAUAGGACUUCCUCUGAGGAUACAAUAAUGUAUAUGAUGGACAAGAUAUGUAAAAGUGCCUUGAAGAGACUUAGUCUUGUGAGGGGACAGACAGGAAAUGGGCAAUUAUCACCUAACUUAGGUCUUUGGUUUCAAGGUAAAAUAAGAAUAAUAACAUCUGUGUUCGCUGGGAUGUUGUGAGUGUUUGUGGAGAUAAUAGUACAAAUGAAAUUACUGAGGGACAAUGGUGAAGAUACGGCCGUAUCAUGGAGCUUACAUUAGUGAUGGAAGGAGAUGGGAGAUACAAAAGCAAGACAAUAUUUCAGAUUUCAUAAAUGAAUGGCAAGCAUAGAGUGGUGAGGCAGAGAAUGACUGGAGAGACUAUGCUAAACUGGUAGUAAAGGAAGAGCAGGACCCUACUAAACUAUAUGGAGUUUUGUGCAAAUCACAUGAACACACGUAGAACAUUUUAGGCUGCUCAUGUGACUUUGGAUUUGUCCUAAGGGCAAUGGUAAGCCUUUGAAGGGCUUUAGCAUGAUAGGAUUUUAAAAGAUCAUUGGCUGCUGUGUGAACAAAAAUAAUGUUGUAAAGAAAAGGAUAUGAGCUUUAUCCGGAGAUCAACUGGAGACUAUUGAAAUAACCCAAGCUGGCUUGAACUACAUAGAGCAGUGUAAACUCAUUCAUUCAUGCAAGAAAUACUUAUUGAGUGCCUACUCAGUACCAGACCCUUUUCUAGGACAUGGAGUUACAGCAGUGAACAAUAUAGAAAAAAAUCCCCUAAUUCAUGGAGAGGGCAGAGACAAAAAAAAUAGCAACUAAAUAAGUAAAAAGGAAUUGAGUACCCUAUAAAAAUUUAUCAGGGAAAUGUUAUAAGGAAUGCCUUUCGGAGUAAUGGGUAGUGAUCUUAAAUGUAUGGUCAAUGAAAAUUAGAAGUUGUAGAGAAGUGGAUAAAUUCACAGUACGUUUUAAAGUAGACCUAAUAAGACUUAAUGAAUUUGAUGUGGCAAGUGAGAAAAAUACAUCAAGGAUGAUGACUUUUAUAAUUUGACUUGAGUAUCUGGGAACAAACAAGUACAGUGACAUAAUAAGGGCAGAAAAUUUUCCAGUCACCCAGCAACUUAUUAACUCAUUUGCUUAGUCUUUAUUGCCUCUUGUAUUAUAUAGUUUUCACUUUGCUGGAGUACUUGUAUAGAAGAUCACCAGUGAAGAAGCCAGAGAUGACUUAUUUGGUUAUCCCAAUAAUACAUCUUAUUGUUAAUUAACUCUCAAGGGUUUUUUUUUCACAAUUUUAGGAAAGUUUUAAGCAAAUGAAUUAUUUAACAUAAAUUGGCUAUGUGACCCUACUCUAAGGUGUUUAAAACACCAACAGCUUAAACUUCUUAGAUCAAAGGACAUCCUCCAGGCCAAAAUGUUUCUACUGGAACGGUUUCUUUGCUUCCUGAUUAAAAGCUUCCCUAAUAUAUUUCCAUGUGUUAUUACAUAUUUGCGUAUUCACUUUGAUGGAAAGCAAGAAUAGCAGCCAAAUACAUAUUUCAUGCAUUCUUUUGAUUAAAAAUGAUAAAGG